Drosophila sulfurigaster albostrigata is the source of this 1020-nucleotide long non-coding RNA. RefSeq lists it as uncharacterized. The record is from RefSeq and is a predicted model, not a curated record. The transcript has 2 exons. NCBI's taxonomy places the organism in Eukaryota, Metazoa, Arthropoda, Insecta, Diptera, Drosophilidae.
AACAACAAAAUCAGACAGUAAAGCAUUUAUGGAUUGUUAACAUCCGAGUUAAUCGACUUUUAAAUAAACUAAUAGCUUAAUCGCAGUACAAGCGAAAUAUCACAGUAAAGGGAAAUGGUAACUCUCAAGAAAAUCUAGUCUCGAAUUUGCUGAGUUGUUUGGUAACAAUAAACAAAUGAGACAAUCAAGCUGAAUAAACAACCUCGAGCGUCAACAUUUCGAGUCCAUUCGCACCGAUCAGUAAAUAGCGAUGAUUAUUGUUUGACUAUUUGCGUAACAUGUCCCAAAAUAAAUUGCCGUUUUGUGAGAAUUGAGAAUGGAAACACUACUUGAAACUCGGUCGCUUAUCAAUGAGGUUCGGGUUCGGCAGAGGUUCCAGUUCUGCCUAUAAACUGAUAACGAUUGACUGGCAAUCUUUACCAGCUGCCGAUGCUGCCAAUUUUCCUCUAUCAAAUCAAAUGGAAAAGUUCGUGUAGCUCACAAGACAAGACAACGGAAAAUAACAAGUUAGCAAAUUGAAAGGUGCCGCCGACAAACGAGGUGCAGAGUUCAAAGAGUUGUGUUUUUUCUUAUUUAAUGAUUUUUUGGCGGCCUCUGUGCGGCUUCAAUUCAAUGCGGAAAUCCGUCAUGCAAAGUUGAACAACAUCAAAAGAAUCAACAAAAAGCCUGAGAGGAAACUGCAAAGAUCAAUUCAACGAAGUCUCGAUGCGCUUACUCGAUUGCAAGUCGGUAUAUCGUGUGUUGAAAGUAAAGUGAGUUUUGUUAGAAAGUAUUUAAAAUCAAUUUCUUUUAGAAUCAAACCGUUUGAACUUGCCGAGUUCCCUUUCUCUGUAGUGUAUUCGAGCUUGUCCACUGCAGCUGGUCAAAAGAUUUUGCAAUGCUGAGCGUGUGUUGUCUUUAAUGGAACUGCUGGGCAAGGUCAACAAGUUCGCUCUCGGACUCGACUCUUAACUCAACUCACCGCGGCUUGGCUUGGCUUAGCUUGGCGUUGAUUUGAAUACAAUCGCAUUGAGACAAGAA